This 435-nucleotide long non-coding RNA is filed under the name Zostera marina. RNAcentral describes it as "long non-coding RNA (ZMAR_LNC000181)". Lineage: Eukaryota; Viridiplantae; Streptophyta; Magnoliopsida; Alismatales; Zosteraceae. The record is from RNAcentral.
CAGGGUUUUACACUGUCCCUCUACCAUAUAAGCCGCCGCAACAGUCCUCCCUGUUUGCUGCAAAAGUAGAUGAAGAAUUUCAGAAAGAAAAGUAGAAAACAAAUUGGAAGAAGAAGAUUUGGAAGCUUACAUUAUGUCGGCGCCUAAAAUUAAACCUUUUAGAAAUGUUAUGUAAAUUAGAGUUUUGAUCUAAAUAAGGUUUGCAGUUGGUGCCAUUUUUUUCCACUAGACUUGACUCGGAGUGAUGGGAUGAAGAUCUUGAAGAUACCGAAUCCCAUGAGUCCCGAUUCCGCCAAUGUAUGAGGAGAGGACUGAGAAGCAGAAAUCGGGGUUUCAUUUUUGCUCCAUACCCUCCAUUUCCAUUUUUUGAUUACUUGAUUGUGGACUUAUGGUAAGGGUCCAUCGAGAGAGAAGCAGCGUGGAAUGCAACAUGGU